This 261-nucleotide long non-coding RNA is filed under the name Elaeis guineensis (African oil palm). RNAcentral's name for it is "long non-coding RNA (EGUI_LNC018284)". Lineage: Eukaryota; Viridiplantae; Streptophyta; Magnoliopsida; Arecales; Arecaceae. The record is from RNAcentral.
UAUAUAUAUAUAUAUAUAUAUAUAUAUAUAUAUAUGUGUGUGUGUGUGUGUGUGUGUGUGUGUAUGCGUGCAUAUUUUUCUCGAUUUAUAUACAUAUGUAUAUUAUAUAUAUGUGUAUGUGCGUACACGCGCGGAUGUUAUGUAUAUAUUAGACUGUUUGAAAAAAUAUUUUUUUAUUGAAAAAAGAUAUUAUAGCUCCCAUGCAAAAAAAUACUAAAAAAAUGGCAUGCGGACUUUUCAAGAGAGCAAGUACCAUUAACC